AACCAACCGGGAUUGCCUCAGUAACGGCGAGUGAAGCGGCAAGAGCUCAAAUUUGAAAGCUGGCCCCUCCGGGGUCCGCGUUGUAAUUUGCAGAGGAUGCUUUGGGUGCGGCCCCCGUCUAAGUGCCCUGGAACGGGCCGUCAGAGAGGGUGAGAAUCCCGUCUUGGGCGGGGUGUCCGUGCCCGUGUAAAGCUCCUUCGACGAGUCGAGUUGUUUGGGAAUGCAGCUCUAAAUGGGUGGUAAAUUUCAUCUAAAGCUAAAUACUGGCCGGAGACCGAUAGCGCACAAGUAGAGUGAUCGAAAGAUGAAAAGCACUUUGAAAAGAGAGUUAAACAGCACGUGAAAUUGUUGAAAGGGAAGCGCUUGCGACCAGACUCGCCCUCGGGGUUCAGCCGGCACUCGUGCCGGUGUACUUCCCCGGGGGCGGGCCAGCGUCAGCUUGGGCGGCCGGUCAAAGGCCUCCGGAAUGUAGUGCCCCCCGGGGCACCUUAUAGCCGGAGGUGCAAUGCGGCCAGCCUGGGCUGAGGAACGCGCUUCGGCACGGACGCUGGCAUAAUGGUCGCAAACGACCCGUC
RNAcentral lists this ribosomal RNA (575 nucleotides) under Aspergillus aculeatus. RNAcentral describes it as "partial large subunit ribosomal RNA". It matches the Rfam family "Eukaryotic large subunit ribosomal RNA", at positions 63 to 653 of the family's 3401-position model. Lineage: Eukaryota; Fungi; Ascomycota; Eurotiomycetes; Eurotiales; Aspergillaceae. The record is from RNAcentral.